Molecule: long non-coding RNA, 4067 nt
Filed under: Fragaria vesca (wild strawberry)
Lineage: Eukaryota; Viridiplantae; Streptophyta; Magnoliopsida; Rosales; Rosaceae
Description: long non-coding RNA (FVES_LNC002827)
Source: RNAcentral
UUAGUUCAUGGGCAAAAUUGUCUUUUCAUGUUUUUCCUUCCCAAAUAUUUUCUUUCCACAAACCUUUCCUUUUAGAAUAUAUCAUUUUUCUCAAAAAUUAGAGACAUAUAAAAAUUAUAAUACACCAUUGACCAUUAAUAUUAAUCAAAAUACAACCACUAUUACUAUUAAUUUAAAUAACUUGUACAGACAUUAAACUGCAUAUGUUUAUUAUAGGUGAAGAACCAUCUGCUCCAGGGACGACAAAGUUGCCCAAGAGUUUAUACACAACAAUCACAUGUGGGAUAUGUCAUAAGAAAUGCCACAACAGGAGGAGUUGUGAAAGAAGAAACCAGGUUCCAUUCAUCUUUUGGACUACAUUUAUUAGCCAGUUUAUACAUUCUUAUAUUAAAUAAAAACCUAACUUCACUAUUGUUGUGCAGCAACAAGUGCCAGAUGUGAAUGUUGAAGUUCCAAAUGAGAACAUUGAAGUUCCUGUCGACAACAAUGUCGAAACCCCUACUGAUCCUACCACUGUUUAAUAUAUAUAAUUUUAUUAGGACUAUAUAAUUACUCUAUUGGCAUGUAUAACCAACUGUUUAUGGUAGCAACUUUUGUGUGAUCUUUGAUUUCGCUAUCCAUACUCUUUUGGGAAGUUCUGCAAGCAGCGUUAGCGUUCAAGUGCUUGGCUCGUAACUUUUGUGUAACAGUGGUUAUAUUUUGAGACAAUAUUAAUGGCCAAUAGUGUAUUUUAAUUUUCAGAAGUUUUUAUUGGCAUGUACAACCAACUGGUAGCAAAUUAUAUUGCUAAUCUGGGAAUUUUUGUAAGUAGUUGGAGACUUCAAGUUCUUCAUCUUGUAAACUCUUAUGUAAUAGUGGUUGUAUUUUGAUUAAUAUUAAUGGCUAAUGGUGUAUUAUAAUUUCUAUAUGUCUCUAAUUUUUGGGAAAAAUGAUAUAUUCUAGAGGGAAAGGUUUGUCGAGGGAAAAUGUUUGGGGAGGAAAAACAUGAAGAGACAAUUUUCUCCAUGGACUAACUCUAACUUAACGGUGUUAAUAACAGAAUGAACUAAUAUUGGGUUAAGUUUAAAUGUUGAGGUACCAUUGUGAUAGUUUUUAAAAUUGAGAUAUCAAAAUGAUGAAUGAGCUUAACUUUGGGCACAAUUUGAAAAAUUUCCUCUAAAAUUAUAUCUUGAUCGUUAUUUGAGUAUCUGCACCCCUUCCUACUCAGACUCUUGUAAUCUACUCAUACUAUGCCCUCAUUUUGAUUAGUCUAUUGAAUGCCUAUAUACUUGGCAGCAAUGAGAACUUUUCAUGUCAACCAAAAUAAGGGAAGUUGAUUGCUGUAAUAAUAGGUACAAUGAGAACUUGGCAGUAGUUUCUGACAGCAUCUUCUGCAAAACCCAUCGAUGCUUGCAAGCAAUUCAAGUAACUUUUACCUAAAAUCAAGUAGAAGCCCAAAUUUUACGGUAAAAUAUCGGGUAUAAUACUACGGUGGCUGUUAGGUUUUAGGCAAUUCAUGGUUUUUGAUAGUAACAAAAACCAUUUACUAUUUACUAUUUCCCAUUUACUAUUUACCCUAUGUACUUCUCUGGCAGCUCAUCACAGCUGUCUUCUACUUCUCUUUGGGAUUCAUUGAGUUCCUACUUUUCGUUGCUUUCCUGCUUCAGUUUUCAGUUACCUGUUUUGCAAUUCCAGUUUGAUCCCAACAGUUUAAGGGUAGAACUGCUGCAGUAUCCAUUGUUUCUCUGAUUUGGAAACAUAGAAUAGAGAAACAUGAACAGGAUAGGAGCUGACGAAGUAGGCCAGAUCCUGAGGCUGGUCACCGACCCAGCUGAUAGAAAAUCGGCGUCUCAGGUCUGCAAGGGGUGGUGGGUCAUGGAGGGUCUGAGCCGAUCAACACUCCGAGUUCUCAACAUUGAUCAUCUUCCUCGAUUACUUGCGGUACCCAAACUUAACCACAUUCGAAACACCACAGUUAGUGAGCAAUGCCGAUCUCGCAUUGGUGGCUCAGUCAUGCCCCAAAUUGGAGGCCUUCAUACUUGACCAUAUCUCACUUGCGGAAGCGGGAUCCUUCGCUCGAUUAAUUGGAGGUCCCAACUCUGAUGAGUUAGAGAAGAAAGUCCGGGCCCGUAUGGAAGUUGGGGACCAAGGUUUGUGCGCUGUGGCAAAUGGGUGUCCCAAGUUGUCCAAGAUUGUGAUCAAUAACAAUUAUGCUGGAGUGCUUGGAAUUAUAGCCAUGAUUACUUCAGCAGCACAUAACCUCACUCAUUUGGAGUUGGAGACUUGUUCUUUGCUUACUGACCAAGCCCUUGAAGCAAUCGGUUCAUCUAGUUGCCGCCUUAGCUUUCUGAGUUUUAGAUUUUCCUCCAAAAUUACUGAUGCCGGAUUGAGAUUUUUGGCAAAUGGGUCUUGCUCAAAAACCAUUAAGCAAUUGAAACUUUGUAGAUAACGUGAAUUCACUAAUGGCGGGGUCUCGCUUUUGUGCAAGAUGCGUGUCUUGGAGGAGCUGGAUUUGAGUUACUGUUGCCAGCUAACUGAUGUUGGAGGUCAGGCAAUCUCCACAAUUCGAACCCUCAAGAAGUUGAAGUUGGUGGAAGCAAUAUUCCUAACAGAAAGAACGUUCGUGGCUAUUGCUAAGAAUUGCAUAAACUUGGAGGUGCUUGAUCUAGCUGGUUGUAGAGGGAUCACAACAACCUGUAUUGAUGCAUUUUCGGGUCAAAAGUGCUUGCGAUUCCUUAAUCUACAAUGUCGUUCGUGUGAUGAUUUAAGAGGAUCUGCUUUCGAAAGCCUAGCACUUGGAUGCCCUUCACUGGAGACGAUUGUGGUGCACGAAAGUUUGAGAGAAAGGCUGUUGCAGGAAAUGCAAGAGAGUACUGUUAGCAGAAUCCUGGACUUCAAGUGUUGGUAGUUUGAUUAGCACCUUGUAUAGUUUGAUGUAUCAGCGUUUUAUGUGUGAUGGUGCUUUCAAACUAACUAGAGAUGUAGUACUACGUACUGAAUUAUUUGGUUUGCUGUGAAUGUUAGAAAGGUUUCAUUAUAUAUAUGAAACAAUUUCUUCUAUCCAAUCCAUUCUAUGCUUUUACAAGUCUCACUUUAUCCUCAUCUUAGAUCAUUGUCAUUAGCCGCGGCAAUUUCAUUCAUGGGAUGACGUCUGAUUGUUUGUUUAGAUUUGCUAAAUGAGCUCUUACUUUGCAAUGAGUUGACACACGUUUUAUUAGUGCUUUUGCUGUUCUUCUCAUCUAGGGGUUUCCAAUUUGAUCCUCUUUUUAAUAAUUGUUGUGGCUUAACCAGAUACUUAAGAACACACACCUAGGCUAAAUUUGGGCAUGGAACCACCCAAAGUGCAUCAUCUCCUCAAACUGUGAAAGAAUUGCCACAGUAUGUGUAUCUGACAUCUGUUGACUGUGGCUUAUUCCACACCUGUGUUGUUUCAUUUGCAGGAGAUAUGUGGUCAUGGGGGAUGGAGAAGGGCCUCGGUAUGCCCAGAUGCUAGUUUUACUGGGACAGAUGCAGGGGAUACAAUUUCUCCCUUGCAGAUUUUGUGUAAUGGAGCAAACGAGUCUAAAUUUCAGGAGCUGGUCCAAGUUGCAUGUGGUACUGCCAUACUGUUCUUGUAGCAAAUGAUAGAUAUCAGCUUUCGUCUUGGGAAAGGAGACAGAAGUGCUGAGGAGAAUUCUAAGAGAGUCACAGAAACAGAAAAAGGCUUGUCUUCAGCAAUGGAAGAAAUGAAGCAUCUCCAGUCAAAACUCAGUGAUUUUAUUGUCUAAGCUGCCUGCUGAACAUAAUGAAACACUGCUUAAGGUAAUAAAUUGCUGAUUAUAGUGCCAAAGUUUAUUGUUACUUACCCAUUACUCUUCCUGGAACUUAGUACUGGAAACUACUGUGUAUAAUUUAACCGACAGACAAGACAUUAAUUUUGUGCACUUUCCAUGCAGAAUAUAGAGAUAUGUCGUCUUUACGAACUUGAUACUGUUAGCUCAGACAUUAUGAAGGUAUUUGCUCAUUUUCAUAUGUUUUCUGUUUAUGCAAAUUGUGUAUGAGCUUAUGGACUUUUCACUUGUACAACUCAGCAAUUGCAUGGUUUGGUU